UUUAGCGCGGUGGUCCCACCUGACCCCAUGCCGAACUCAGAAGUGAAACGCCGUAGCGCCGAUGGUAGUGUGGGGUCUCCCCAUGUGAGAGUAGGGAACUGCCAGGC
Molecule: ribosomal RNA, 107 nt
Filed under: Enterobacter cloacae
Lineage: Bacteria; Pseudomonadati; Pseudomonadota; Gammaproteobacteria; Enterobacterales; Enterobacteriaceae
Also listed under: 9 other names
Source: RNAcentral